Molecule: ribosomal RNA, 846 nt
Filed under: uncultured Actinomycetes bacterium
Lineage: Bacteria; Bacillati; Actinomycetota; Actinomycetes
Description: bacterial SSU rRNA
Rfam family: Bacterial small subunit ribosomal RNA
Source: RNAcentral
CCGCGGGAUUAGAGUUUGAUCCUGGCUCAGGACGAACGCUGGCGGCGUGCUUAACACAUGCAAGUCGAGCGAGAGCCAGCUGAGGGGUAACCCUCGGCUGGGGACAGCGGCGAACGGGUGCGUAACACGUGGGCAACCUGCCCCUGACACUGGGAUAACCCCGGGAAACCGGAGCUAAUACCGGAUACUCUCGGCCGAUCACAUGGCUGGCCGAGGAAAGGUCCGCCGGUCAGGGAUGGGCCCGCGGCCUAUCAGCUUGUUGGUGGGGUAACGGCCUACCAAGGCGACGACGGGUAGCUGGUCUGAGAGGACGACCAGCCACACUGGAACUGAGAUACGGUCCAGACUCCUACGGGAGGCAGCAGUGGGGAAUAUUGCACAAUGGGCGAAAGCCUGAUGCAGCGACGCCGCGUGAGGGAUGAAGGCCUUCGGGUCGUAAACCUCUUUCGGCAGGGACGAAGCGAUCAGUGACGGUACCUGCAGAAGAAGCCCCGGCUAACUACGUGCCAGCAGCCGCGGUAAGACGUAGGGGGCGAGCGUUGUCCGGAUUCAUUGGGCGUAAAGCGCGCGUAGGCGGCUGCGCAAGUCGGUUGUGAAACCCCGGGGCUCAACCCCGGAACUGCAUCCGAUACUGCGUGGCUAGAGGUAGGUAGGGGAGAUCGGAAUUCCUGGUGUAGCGGUGAAAUGCGCAGAUAUCAGGAGGAACACCGGUGGCGAAGGCGGAUCUCUGGGCCUUACCUGACGCUCAGGCGCGAAAGCUAGGGGAGCGAACAGGAUUAGAUACCCUGGUAGUCCUAGCCGUAAACGUUGGGUGCUAGGUGUGGGCGGAUAUCGACCCCGUCCGUG